CUCGGAGCCCACGCGGGCCCGCUCCCCUCCUCCCACUUUGUACUUCUGAAGCGAGCAAGAAGGAAGUGUGAACCCCACCAUGUAGGAGCGAGAGGGGGGACAGGCCUGGGGCUCUGUCCGAGCCAAGGCGAACACCUUUUCUGCAGCCCCAAUUAGCGCCCGGCGGAUUAGCACCUUCUUAAGCUCUGCCUGGAAGCAGCCGAGGUCUUUCGCCGUCCACCCCCACCCGCCGCGGACUGGGAGUCAGGGCUCCCCGCCCCCACGCGCCCCACCCCCGCCCGCCCCGAGAAAAGUUUUCACCGAAAACCCGAGGCUGCCAGAGCCGGAGUGGAAGCCACUGACGUCACUGGCGGGCUAGGGCACGGAGGGCGCCUGGAGACUCGGAUGGCGACCGAGGAUGUGGCUGCUUCCAAGAGGCGCGGCGCCAGCUGCUGAAGUGGGAAGAGGGCAUGUUUCUGUCGGAGGGGUCUGGACAGACGCCUGCGUCCCUUUACGCAGCCCUGGGGAGGUGAGUUCCCCAUGGGCGGCAGCCACACGCGGAUCCCGGGACCCGAAGCUGAAGGCCUCUCGCCCCGCCCAGGGCCAGGGCCUCCUCUGCCCGAGCCCCUCACACCCUUCUUUCGCCUUCACCCUGCUCAGCUCCUGAUCAUCCUCGCCAAGCUCAGAGGCCUCCAAGCGCGGCCAAGCUUGGCUGGCGAAGCCGUGGCGCCCCGGCCCUUUCUCGCCUCUGCACCGGCUGUGCUCCGAGCUGCCUCCCUUCCAAGGACACUGGGCAGCCGGCUUCCUUCUGCUUCUGCCCCCCUCCCCCCGCUUAGAAACGGUACUUUCCGUUGGGUCCCCCAGAGCAGCCCAGGGUCUAACUCCCAACGCCCCGCGGCCCCAUGUUAAAGCUCCUGCGGUGAGCGGGCCUUGCGCGCAGCGCCCUGGCAGUCUUGCAAACAGGAUUCCUGGGAAAGUUUGCUCGGACUCCGUCAGCCCAGGACAGACCCCCCCCCCCACCUCUGCUGCUCUCGACCUCUGCCCCCAGAGGCAGGAGUUGGGCUUCCUGGGAGCAGCAAGCCAACGCCACGGCCCCUCCUCCCUCCACAGCUGCCGGUCCCGAGGGCGCAGGACCCAGCCCCAGGCUGUGCUCCCGGAGCCGGGGGAGGAGAGCGAACCUCAGGGCUGGCUCUCCACAGCCGCCGGAGCUGAGUGCAUCCCGAUCGGCUUUUAGGAUGGCAUUGACUGGGACAAGCUGUUCCCAGCCCCGUAAGCGUUAAUCUGCCUGUUAAUCAAAGCACUGAGGGGCUCAAUGAGGGUUUUAUUAGCGACCGGAGAGCAGAGGCAGCAGCCAGGGAUCAAAAGCCAGGGUCCCAGGUACUUUGUCAGCAAGGCACUCAAAAAAAUUGUAUUUUCAAUUAGAGAACAAUUCGGGGCUUUUCAUCAUCUCCUAACCAGGUCUCACAGAUGCUGACUUCCAGACUGUGCGCAGGGGAGAACCAAAUGCCCGGGGGCGGACCGGGGCGGCCGAGGGGCCCUGACGCCUCCCGACGCAGUCGAAAGGGAAGCCGCGAGCCACACCGCCAAUGUGGGCUUCAGACCCUGGGUCGCCCGCGCCACUGCCGGGCUGCCGGAAGUUUACGGAGCCGGAGCCGAGAGACUCCCACGCGCCUCCUCUGCCCUGGAGGGAGGCUGGGUCCCCUCCAGGGUGCCUCUCAAACCCUAAAACAAAUACAUAAAAGCCCAGGCCUUGGGGACUUUUGAACAGCAAUUGCUCCAAUAAUCCAAAUUGUACGAGAACUCCAGGGAAAAGAGCCAACCCAGCCACACCCGCCCUGCGAUCGCGAGGGCAGCGGCGAGGCCACCGCGAGGACUCGGUCAGAGGCGAUUAUGUCACCGCGUUUUCUCGCCGUGACAGCCGAAUAAACACGAUCUCCAAUAAACAUCUCUAAUGAGGGAGGAGGCCCGAGGACGGCUGGGUUUGAUUUAUGACUGGAGAAGGUCCUCUGCCCACAGCGAGGCGGGCAGCCUGCUCUCCGCUCAGCUCGAGGAGAGAUCCGCGUGGGACCCAGCCCAGAGAAUGAAGUGUAAAACAGCAGAACGAGAGAUGAGGAAAACAGAAGCCAGACUGGUCCCCAGCCCGUGGUGCAGAUGGGGUGUGCCCAGGAAUGGUGGCUUUCACUGCUCUUCGUCCACCCUGCCGGAGCUGAAGGAGGGCAGCAGUCCUGUCCCGGAGGCAGGCGUGCACGACCUCACUGCACACCCAGCUCUGCAGCCGGGCGCGGAGUGAGCAGUCAAAGGCUGCCUUACCUGCCCAUGUGGAGAAGGUGUUGGCUAAGGGACCCCAUAGCCUUUGUUGAGGGACAAUAACUACCGACUGUUACACUUCCAUUUGGAAAGAACCUUUAUAAAAUGCGCUGCUUAACGUGGGACACUGAGGAAGGAAGAUCACUGGGAGUCCCGGCCCAGCUUGCAUUGCACAGCGAGAGCCUGUCUCAGAAAACCAAAAAUAAAAUGAAGUAAAAUAAAAUGCAUUGGCUAAAUAGAUACAGUACCAUUUUGGGGUAAUUACUACUGCUCAGGAAAGUAAGGGCGAGAACUUGAAGAGAAGCAGUGAGAGAGC
This is a long non-coding RNA of Heterocephalus glaber (naked mole-rat), 2602 nucleotides long. The record is from Ensembl. Lineage: Eukaryota; Metazoa; Chordata; Mammalia; Rodentia; Bathyergidae.